GCCUGAUGCCGCAACAUGACUCUAUUUUAUUUGCUCUUGUUGCUGCUUAUUGCUCUCUGCAGCCUCUAGCCUCCCGGCUCUUGCAUCUUGCCACAAGCCCCACUCUGGCUACCUCCGAAGACAAUCAAACCGAGACUGCACCACAAUUUGAGUUCAGAGUCCCGGGGUCAAGCCACUGCUAGCUACUGAAUUUAACCGACAAAUUUGUAGCCAAAAACUG
RNAcentral lists this long non-coding RNA (220 nucleotides) under Drosophila guanche. The record is from RNAcentral. Lineage: Eukaryota; Metazoa; Arthropoda; Insecta; Diptera; Drosophilidae.